GUCAAUGGAAUCUAUAUCGGGCCGCGAACAAGGAAACAAGUGAAAAAUAGUGUGUCGGGUUAAUUGUGUCUUAAUUCAGAAAAUUAGCUGUUCCGUUGAAAUAACUAACCAAUAAAUAUAUACAUAACGAUAUUUUCGCCAACAAAAAACGAAGCACAUAAAAAAGUACAUUUACCGAUAUAUCAAUAUGCAUACAUAUGUAUGUAUCAUCCCUAGAAUAGGCAAAGGCAGUGACAAAAGGGUCAGCAAAAUUUGUGAACACGUUUUGUGCAGAAAUUAAUUCAGUUUCGGGCAUAAUCCAAGUCAGCAAUCAACGAGCCAGUUAAUUAACUCAUUGAGUGCUCUCAAGUGCAGCUUUAAAGUGGAAGAAAAUUCUAGUUGAAUGGAAUGUCUGCGUCACGUUGCAAUGUGACAGCAUUGCCAGCAGCAAAAAUUACAAGAGUAGAGAAAAAAUCCAUUUGGCAGUUAAACGAAUGAGCGAAGCCUCAAAUGAAGGCGAAGAAAACUACUCGAGUGCGAAGAAAAGGCCCUGACCCGAGCCAGCUGCCAGCAACUGCACAAAAGAGGUGGAGUGGAGUGGAUGGAGGGUUCGGUCCGUCGCCGAAAAGAGGCCCCGAACGAACCCCUGGGAACACAAGCCGACGACGACGACCCCCGGCUUAGGGGAUGGGAUCCGAAGCGAAUGUGCACCUACCUGUCCCGACAAUGGCGUGGCGUGGCCUAGGCUAUCGAGACCGAGGCUACCAGCCCGAGUCCAGCACCGAGUGGUGCAUCAGUCCAUUAAAAGUGCUCUAGCCAGCGACAUGGCGUAAGCGGAGAACACAGGGAAACCCAUUUGACCUCGACGGACUGAGGACCAGUGCGUUUUUUUUUCAAUUGAAAUGAGUGAAAUCGGUGCAAUCCGUGUAGCAUAUAAACUGCCAGAGAGACAGAUUCAUUUUGAAGUGGGGAUCUAGUGAGCUCAGUGAAACUGUACCAGAAGGAGACCCACGCAACGGGACGAGUUGUGACGCCAUGGCAGUGGAACUUUCCAGGCCCCCAUCCUAGAUCUUUCGUGUUGUUUGUGCUGCAAUAUUCUGGUAUGGCCAUGGCCAGAAUCACCCUCUCACUGGCAUCAACCCAUCGCACCAUUAACCCGAUAAAAGAAGCAAGAAGCAAGCCCUAAUCGAACUGAGGAGGCCAUGGCCCGGGGUCUCUGGCGCCCAUCCCUGGUGGCGCUCAAUACAGCGGCGUCUUCGGGCGACUCGCAGUUGCGGGCGCGGCAGGAGUCGAAGUGCAGCGGCGUGGGUGGUGCGCACCGGCGGUGUGACGGCUGGUAAGCGCUGCCUUAUAACAAAUGCUUGCAACUGCACGGGAUGGCCCCCAACAGAACCGAACAGUACCGCUGGCGGUGGAAGAGUUUGACCGACGCGAGCGAGAGGCAAACGAUAUGGAAUGGAAAGCGUUCACUUGGUGCCACACGGGAUACACGCGAACACGGUGCGGGACGAAGCGUAACCACAUACUUCUACCAAGCGGUGCAAGCACUCGUGUGGCAUUACGUGAAAGCGACUGGGAUAGCAAUACAUAUAUGAGACACAUAUAUAUAUAUAUGAGGGACCAAGAGAGUACGCUCCUCUCUUUCAUGAUUGGUCAUAGAAAUGACAAGGAUAGCAGCUCGUGUCGCGUCGGCCAAACGAUUUCAUCGAAAGCGGCAGAGCAGGACGGCCAUAGAGCAGUUUGCACAGCCCCCAAUAAGAGCGGUAACGCAAUAUAACCACAUCCCGCAAGAAAGCUAACGCAUCCCUGAUGUGUAUAACAGUGGGCGCGCUCACCUCCCCACACACGUACACGCCGCACACACGCACGCACGCAGGCACGACGACGGCCUGUCAAAACGUAGAGAUCGGGAUAGCUGCCAGGGGCGAUAGGCUUUCAACAUAACCACAACCACAACAAACACUGCACUCUGCCCAGGCAGGUGCUGUGCUAUAACACAUCCCCGCCAAUCAGGGAUCAAGAUUAAUCGUAUAAACUAGCAAGUGUCAUCGUAACGUUCAAACCUCCUCACCUCAUCAAGCCGCAUCCAUGGCCCAUAUCUGAAUAUUGUCAGAGUUAAAUUUGCCGGGUCUCAACUGAUGAUUUCUGUUCGCCCGGAAAGGGCUGCUGCUUGGUAGCCACAGGGGACGGGGGCUGACCAGGGUGCGGGGAUCGUAGACAAUAGGUAUUUCUACAGAUUAGUGCUAGUGUAGCCAAGUCGCUGGAUCUGUGUUGCUGUGCCACAAAAAGCCAACAAGAAUAACGCCGAGAAGAAGCUGCCACUGCAUAGAUUCACAAGGAGUUCGGAACUCGGAGAACUAUUCGCACGGCUGCAGGACAUUCCCCUAAAGUUGCUCCAAUCACAACUCAAACGCCCAGAUAAGCCACCAAAAUUCCAUUAAAAUCAAACAUCCAGAAUUAGUCGAUUUUCAUUGCAUCCAUAAUGGUCUAUGCAAAGACCAUUAUGAGGCAAAAAAUUUUCAUUUGAUUUCCUUGACUACCCACACUCCUUGGAUCCAGCCGGUCCCUAUCACAGAAGAUUGCACAAGCCAAUUAACUAAUAAAUUAUAUAAUAUAAAAUAUAAAAAAAAAAAAAAAAAAAAAGAAAAGAAAAAAGAAAAAGAAAAAGGGGAGAACCAACAAAUCAAAUAAAAAGCAAAAAAAAAAUGUUGCUGAAACGUUAUACGAUUUGUCAUAAGAAAAAAUAAUACAAAAUGUAUUGAAGCUUUAUACGAUCUUUAAUAAAAGAUCUCAUUAUGAGCAAAAGAAUGAAAAAUGUAUACAAAAAAAAAAUACAAAAAAAAAACCCUUGUUGGUCAAUCGUUCGACCUGCAGUUGGUUUGCCAAGGCAACCGUCACAUUCUAUGCUGAUAAUGAAGAAAUAAACUUAUGACUUAUGACAAAUCGUGUGAACACUAACCAAAGGUAAUGCAAAUCCUUCAGAUAGUGGCCGGCGAAGACCCCAAGCGAAAUGUUUCACAAAUAUUUGAAUAUUAGAACCCAUUUAAAACAAAAAAUGCACUCAUUAUUUGGUGACUUGCUUAGACAAGAUCUUUAAGAUUUUCCAAAUUUGUGUGUGGUUAGGCGAAAUGUCCUGCAGCUAAAUGGUUUAGUUUGGGCUCUGUUCUCCCGCCUGAAUUUGAUAUGGAAGCAGAUCCAACGGAAAGAACCCAAGAUUUUCACAUACCGGACCGGAUCGAUCCCGUCCAUCCAUCCAUCAGCCGGCCACAGCCAAGAAGCUCUGCCACAUCUCAGAGAAGAUUCCGCUAACCAAACGAUUUGUAAAACUUUCAGGUUCUGCCUGGAGGAUACCAGUUACUCUUUCUGUUUGUUUUGUCUAUUUGAUAACCCACCCCGCUCCUCCCAAUUUCCACCAUUUAUAUCUACCAGCUUUGCUCUGUCCAGACUGUCGUCCAUUGUGUGCUCCUACUUAAGCCCAAGUUUCCAGUUCCCCAUUUACAUAUGUGUGUACUUUUACUCACAAUUAACACUCCUGCAAUCCAUACGACAGUCCCCCACACUAAUCGAGCUUCAAUAUCACUCUCACACACAGUUAAACUUUCAUAUACACAAUCGUUCGGGUUUCGGAAAACGCGUCGAAGCGUUGCGUGGUCUUGAAACGUUUUCCGAAACAGAGAAUUUCGAAUUUACGUAUAACGAUAAAAAAAAAAUAAAACAAUAAAAAAAAAACCGGUAAGCGUGAGCGCGCCGUGAAUUCGAAAAUGGAAAUGAAAAAAAACAUUGCCAAAUAAAUGACUUUGCAGCACCGUUAUACGAAACUCAGAAAAAAGGAAAAAUCCAAACAAAAAAAAUAUAUACAAAUAGUUUUAAGUAAGAAAAAAAAAACAUUUCCAAUAAAAAAACAAGCAAGUCAAAAAAAGCACCGUUAUACGCGACGACAGAAAACCGCGAAAAAAAAUAUAUGUGAAAAAUGGAAACGUUAUACGUCUGAGCAACAUAACAAAAAAAAAAUAAAAAAUAAUAUUUUGUGGUUUUUCUGUAUAACGUUAUACGUCGCUGUAUUCUGUUAUACGUCUGAACCGAAAAAAAAAAAAAUACCAGAACAAAUGUGUUUUUUCUGUAUAACGAAUAGAGUAUGCGUUUAUGCAUCCUCAUUGAUUGGCAAAGAAACAAAUAUAUUUAUUCUGGCUACGUUAUACGUCCUCACUGAUUGGCAAAGAAACAAAUAUGUUUGUUGUUUUUGCUGUCGCAGAAGGCUGCAAAUAUUCCUUUGCAAUUUUUGUGUGUUUCUUUGAGAAUCGGUAAGGACGCGACAAGUCGAAACAGGAGACUACAAAUCUGUGUGCGGGCGAUGUUGCAUGUGUGUGUAGUUUCCUGUGCAGCAAAAACUUAUUUAAUUGGAGUCGCAAAAUUAAAUGUCCUGUGUAAAACUAUAAUUAAAUUGUUUCAUUUGGGUUGGGCCACAGAAGAGUGCGGGGGCCUCUCACACGAAAUUGCAAUCAUCGCUGGAGAAACCAAAUGGGAAGGUAGCAGCAUUGAAUGGAACCACUCCAGGAGAGCCGAAUAAAUAAAUAUACCAUAAGAACUUCGCAUUUUUGGCACUAAUUUUCCUCGAAUAUCAGUCUAACACCUAUAUUUCCUGCUUGUUCGCGACCGGUUCGGUUAUCCGCGUCGUGCGUCAUGCGACAGCGCCCCUCGGUCGGUUGGGCGGGAGGAGGGGCCGCGUUUCUGCCUGGGAUCCGCGCGUAA
Molecule: long non-coding RNA, 4728 nt
Organism: Drosophila obscura
Lineage: Eukaryota; Metazoa; Arthropoda; Insecta; Diptera; Drosophilidae
Exons: 3
Source: RefSeq, a predicted model, not a curated record